CGCGUAGGCGGUUUGUUAAGUCGGAUGUGAAAGCCCCGGGCUCAACCUGGGAGUUGCACCCGAUACUGGCCGACUGGAGUGCGAGAGAGGGAGGUAGAAUUCCACGUGUAGCGGUGAAAUGCGUAGAUAUGUGGAGGAAUACCGGUGGCGAAGGCGGCCUCCUGGCUCGACACUGACGCUGAGGUGCGAAAGCGUGGGGAGCAAACA
This 207-nucleotide ribosomal RNA is filed under the name uncultured bacterium. Its description in RNAcentral is "partial 16S ribosomal RNA". It matches the Rfam family "Bacterial small subunit ribosomal RNA", at positions 568 to 774 of the family's 1533-position model. The record is from RNAcentral.